RNAcentral lists this transfer RNA (69 nucleotides) under Marmota monax (woodchuck). Its description in RNAcentral is "tRNA.Ala". The stretch from base 4 to 64 matches the Rfam family "tRNA", at positions 6 to 65 of the family's 71-position model. Rfam says of the family: Transfer RNA (tRNA) molecules are approximately 80 nucleotides in length. Their secondary structure includes four short double-helical elements and three loops (D, anti-codon, and T loops). Lineage: Eukaryota; Metazoa; Chordata; Mammalia; Rodentia; Sciuridae. The record is from RNAcentral.
GUUUGUGGCUCAGUGAUAGAGCGCUUGCCUAGCAUGCAUGAGGCUCUGGGUUCGAUCCUCAGCACCACA